GACGAACGCUGGCGGCGUGGAUUAGGCAUGCAAGUCGAACGGUAUCAUCCUUUCGGGGAUGAGAGAGUGGCGAACGGGUGAGUAACACGUAGGUGAUCUACCCUCAAGACGGGGACAACCCAGGGAAACUUGGGCUAAUACCGGAUGUGAGCUAUCGUGAGAUAGUUUGAAAGGUGGCUUCGGCUGCCGCUUGAGGAUGAGCCUGCGUCCUAUUAGCUAGUUGGUGGGGUAACGGCUCACCGAGGCAGUGAUAGGUAGGCGGCCUUAACGGGUGGUCGCCCACACUGGGAUUGAGAUACGGCCCAGACUCCUACGGGAGGCAGCAGUCGAGAAUAGUCUACAAUGGUCGAAAGACUGAUAGUGCGACGCCGCGUGAACGAAGAAGCCUUCGGGUGUAAAGUCUUUAUAUGUGAGCAGUGACAUCUAUAUUAAUAGUAAUGGGUGUAGAGAUAUUAGCAUAUGAAUAAGCAACGGCUAACUCCUGCC
Molecule: ribosomal RNA, 486 nt
Filed under: uncultured bacterium
Lineage: Bacteria
Description: bacterial SSU rRNA
Rfam family: Bacterial small subunit ribosomal RNA
Source: RNAcentral